UGGGAACGUCCCGAAUUGCAGGUUUCAGUUCCAUACAGCCAAAGAUGGCUCAUCAGCUGAUAAAAUGCCCAAGUCGUUUUAGUGGACAGAGAAAAGUUUGAAAUUACUCUAGCAAUAUCUUCACGUUGCUAGUGAAUGCAGCUACCUAGUUUAUCCUACCUGGCUCAGAGAGGGAUGCUAUGUUAGCCAGCCGGCUAUGGCCAUCCAACACCGGAACUCUUCCAAGAUAAGACAGCUGAUGUGUUGUGCACUGAAGUCCACAAGCGAAGGGAAAAGGACAAUGACCCAAAACACACCUCCAGAUUGUUUAAGGGCUAUUUGACCAAGAAGGAGAGUGACUGAGUGACGCAUCAGAUGACCUGGCCUCCACAAUUACCCGGCCUCAACCCAAUUGAGAUGGUUUGGGAGAGAGAAGAGGGAAGGAAAAGCAGCCAAGUGCUCAGCUUAUGUGGGAACUCUUUCAAGACUGUUGGAAAUGCAUUCCAGGGCACUGAGUUCCAAAGAGGGUGGAGCCUAUGUUUGGGAUCUCCAGUGUCUCUCCACGUGAUGGCAGGGGUAUCACUGACCACUGUUUCCCCACAAAGGAGUAACACCCUCUUUUUUUAUUUAUUUUUUAUAUAAUAUAUAUUUUUUUUAACUGCCAUAUGAAAACAAACAGAGGGAGAGGAGCUACACAGACUACUGAAAGCCCAGGAUACUGCACAGAGGAGCAAGAAUCAAGUUGGAUAAACCAAGGAGAGGUACCUUGAACAAAAAAGAAAAUCAUUUAAAGAAAAACAUCAUGUCUUAUUCAACAUUGAAUGUUUUGUCAAGUUAUUGAAAUUCAAGUCAUUAACAUGGGCAUCAUAUUUGUCUUUCAUUUCAC
Long non-coding RNA from Oncorhynchus nerka (sockeye salmon), 865 nucleotides. RefSeq lists it as uncharacterized. Lineage: Eukaryota; Metazoa; Chordata; Actinopteri; Salmoniformes; Salmonidae. The record is from RefSeq and is a predicted model, not a curated record. The transcript has 6 exons.